GGAAUUUUGCGCAAUGGGCGAAAGCCUGACGCAGCAACGCCGCGUGAGCGAUGAAGGCCUUCGGGUCGUAAAGCUCUGUCGGGUGGGAAGAACACAAUGACGGUACCACCAAAGGAAGCCCCGGCUAACUCCGUGCCAGCAGCCGCGGUACUACGGAGGGGGCGAGCGUUGUUCGGAAUCAUUGGGCGUAAAGCGUAUGUAGGUGGCCGGAUAAGUCAGACGUGUAAGCCCGCGGCUCAACCGCGGAAUUGCGUUUGAAACUAUUCGGCUUGAGUGCAGAAGAGGAAAGCGGAAUUUCCAGUGUAGCGGUGAAAUGCGUCGAUAUUGGGAAGAACACCAGUGGCGAAGGCGGCUUUCUGGUCUGCAACUGACACUGAGAUACGAAAGCCAGGGGAGCGA
RNAcentral lists this ribosomal RNA (399 nucleotides) under uncultured bacterium. RNAcentral describes it as "bacterial SSU rRNA". It matches the Rfam family "Bacterial small subunit ribosomal RNA", at positions 358 to 771 of the family's 1533-position model. The record is from RNAcentral.